GAUGAACGCUGGCGGCGUGCCUAAUACAUGCAAGUCGAGCGAACGGGCGCGGAGCUUGCUUCUCUGAUGUUAGCGGAGGGCGGGUGGGUAACACGUGUAUAACCUACCUGUCAGACUGGGAUAACUUCGGGAAACCGGCGCUAAUCCCGGAUAAUCUUUUGAACCACAUGGUUCAAAAGUGAAAGACGGUCUUGCUGUCACUUAUAGAUGGAUCCGCGCUGCAUUAGCUAGUCGUGAAGGUAACGGGUUAGCAAGGCAACGAUGCAUAGCCGACCUCUGAGGGUGAUCGGCGACCCGGGAACUUGGCCACGCUCCAGACGCCUACGGGAGGCAGCAGUAGGGAACCUUACGCAGUGGGCGGAAGCCUGACGGAGUAGCCCCGCGCGAGUUACGAAGGUCUUCGGAGCGUAAAACUCGGUUAUUGGGGAUGAACAGAUGUGUAAGGAACUGUGCACAGCGUGACGGUAACUAAUCAGAAAGCCCCGGCUAACUACGUG
Molecule: ribosomal RNA, 497 nt
Filed under: uncultured bacterium
Lineage: Bacteria
Description: partial 16S ribosomal RNA
Rfam family: Bacterial small subunit ribosomal RNA
Source: RNAcentral